This 75-nucleotide transfer RNA is filed under the name Planctomycetaceae bacterium. RNAcentral describes it as "tRNA-Pro". It matches the Rfam family "tRNA". From Rfam's summary of the family: Transfer RNA (tRNA) molecules are approximately 80 nucleotides in length. Their secondary structure includes four short double-helical elements and three loops (D, anti-codon, and T loops). Further hydrogen bonds mediate the characteristic L-shaped molecular structure. tRNAs have two regions of fundamental functional importance: the anti-codon, which is responsible for specific mRNA codon recognition, and the 3' end, to which the tRNAs corresponding amino acid is attached (by aminoacyl-tRNA synthetases). tRNAs cope with the degeneracy of the genetic code in two manners: having more than one tRNA (with a specific anti-codon) for a particular amino acid; and 'wobble' base-pairing, i.e. permitting non-standard base-pairing at the 3rd anti-codon position. The record is from RNAcentral. Lineage: Bacteria; Pseudomonadati; Planctomycetota; Planctomycetia; Planctomycetales; Planctomycetaceae.
CGGGGCGUAGCUCAGUUUGGCUAGAGCGCCGGCUUUGGGAGCCGGAAGUCGCAGGUUCAAAUCCUGUCGCCCCGA